This 263-nucleotide unclassified non-coding RNA is filed under the name plant metagenome. RNAcentral's name for it is "partial contains small subunit ribosomal RNA, internal transcribed spacer 1, and 5.8S ribosomal RNA". The record is from RNAcentral.
UUUCCGUAGGUGAGCCUGCGGAAGGAUCAUUAUUGUAUAACCGAGGUGCGAGGGCUGUCGCUGACUCGAAAGGUCGUGCACGCCCGAGUGCCCUCACACACAUCCAUCUCACCCCUAUGUGCACCACCGCGUGGGUCCCCCCUUGGCUUGUUCGGAGGGGGGCUUACGUUUUCACACAAACUUUGUAUGCAGUGUAGAAUGUAUUUUUUGUUUUUGCGAUCACGCAAUCAAUACAACUUUCAACAACGGAUCUCUUGGCUCUC